Molecule: ribosomal RNA, 514 nt
Filed under: uncultured bacterium
Lineage: Bacteria
Description: bacterial SSU rRNA
Rfam family: Bacterial small subunit ribosomal RNA
Source: RNAcentral
CUAGAGUUUGAUCCUGGCUCAGGACGAACGCUGGCGGCGUGCUUAACACAUGCAAGUCGAGCGGUAAGGCUCCUUCGGGAGUACACGAGCGGCGAACGGGUGAGUAACACGUGAGCAAUCUGCCCUUCACAUUGGGAUAACCCUCGGAAACGAGAGCUAAUACCGGAUACAACCACUGGCGGCAUCGCCUGGUGGUGGAAAGUUCCGGCGGUGGAGGAUGAGCUCGCGGCCUAUCAGCUUGUUGGUGGGGUAACGGCCCACCAAGGCGACGACGGGUAGCCGGCCUGAGAGGGUGACCGGCCACACUGGGACUGAGACACGGCCCAGACUCCUACGGGAGGCAGCAGUGGGGAAUAUUGCGCAAUGGGCGAAAGCCUGACGCAGCGACGCCGCGUGUGGGAUGAAGCAUUUCGGUGUGUAAACCACUGUUGCCCGGGACGAACAGCUUCUUUCGAGGAGCCUGACGGUACCGGGUGAGGAAGCACCGGCUAACUCCGUGCCAGCAGCCGCGGUA